Molecule: microRNA precursor, 126 nt
Filed under: Myotis lucifugus (little brown bat)
Lineage: Eukaryota; Metazoa; Chordata; Mammalia; Chiroptera; Vespertilionidae
Description: mir-9193 microRNA precursor family
Source: Rfam by way of RNAcentral
AAUGCACAGGUGGGGUCCCUCGGCCUGGCCUGCGGGAUUGGGCUGAAACAGGCUUUAUGACAUCCCCCGAGGGGUCCCAGAUUGCGAGAGGGCGCAGGCCAGGCUGAGGGACCCCACUGGUGCACA